RNAcentral lists this ribosomal RNA (301 nucleotides) under uncultured bacterium. RNAcentral describes it as "partial 16S ribosomal RNA". It matches the Rfam family "Bacterial small subunit ribosomal RNA", at positions 509 to 807 of the family's 1533-position model. The record is from RNAcentral.
CAGUCGCCGCGGUAAUACGAAGGGGGCUAGCGUUGCUCGGAAUGACUGGGCGUAAAGGGCGCGUAGGCGGCGAUCAAAGUCAGGCGUGAAAUUCCUGGGCUCAACCUGGGGGCUGCGCUUGAUACUUGGUUGCUUGAGUGGGGAAGAGGGUCGUGGAAUUCCCAGUGUAGAGGUGAAAUUCGUAGAUAUUGGGAAGAACACCGGUGGCGAAGGCGGCGACCUGGUCCUUGACUGACGCUGAGGCGCGAAAGCGUGGGGAGCAAACAGGAUUAGAUACCCCCGUAGUCCCUGUCUCUUAUAC